AGCGAACAGAUAAGGAGCUUGCUCCUUUGACGUUAGCGGCGGACGGGUGAGUAACACGUGGAUAACCUACCUAUAAGACUGGGAUAACUUCGGGAAACCGGAGCUAAUACCGGAUAAGAUUUUGAACCGCAUGGUUCAAUAGUGAAAGACGGCCUUGCUGUCACUUAUAGAUGGAUCCGCGCCGUAUUAGCCAGUUGGUAAGGUAACGGCUUACCAAGGCAACGAUACGUAGCCGACCUGAGAGGGUGAUCGGCCACACUGGAACUGAGACACGGUCCAGACUCC
RNAcentral lists this ribosomal RNA (285 nucleotides) under unidentified marine bacterioplankton. RNAcentral describes it as "partial 16S ribosomal RNA". It matches the Rfam family "Bacterial small subunit ribosomal RNA", at positions 65 to 339 of the family's 1533-position model. The record is from RNAcentral.